RNAcentral lists this unclassified non-coding RNA (185 nucleotides) under rhizosphere metagenome. RNAcentral's name for it is "partial ribosomal RNA internal transcribed spacer region". The record is from RNAcentral.
GUGUUCCCUGCCCUCACGGGUAGAAACGCCCACCCUUGUAUAAUAUAUCUUGUUGCUUUGGCAGGCCGCCCUCGGGCACCGGCUCCGGCUGGAUCGUGCCUGCCAGAGGACCACAACUCUUGUUUUUAGUGAUGUCUGAGUACUAUAUAAUAGUUAAAACUUUCAACAACGGAUCUCUUGGUUCU